This 387-nucleotide ribosomal RNA is filed under the name uncultured bacterium. Its description in RNAcentral is "bacterial SSU rRNA". It matches the Rfam family "Bacterial small subunit ribosomal RNA", at positions 28 to 417 of the family's 1533-position model. The record is from RNAcentral.
GACGAACGCUGGCGGCGUGCUUAACACAUGCAAGUCGAGCGGUAAGGCCCUUUCGGGGGUACACGAGCGGCGAACGGGUGAGUAACGCGUGGGUGACCUGCCCUUAGCUCUGGGAUAAGCCUGGGAAACUGGGUCUAAUACCGGAUAUGACUCCAUGACGCAUGUUGUGGGGUGGAAAGCCUUGUGCGGCUAGGGAUGGGCCCGCGGCCUAUCAGCUUGUUGGUGGGGUGAUGGCCUACCAAGGCGACGACGGGUAGCCGGCCUGAGAGGGCGACCGGCCACACUGGGACUGAGACACGGCCCAGACUCCUACGGGAGGCAGCAGUGGGGAAUCUUGCGCAAUGGGCGAAAGCCUGACGCAGCGACGCCGCGUGGGGAUGACGGCCU